RNAcentral lists this ribosomal RNA (301 nucleotides) under uncultured bacterium. RNAcentral describes it as "partial 16S ribosomal RNA". It matches the Rfam family "Bacterial small subunit ribosomal RNA", at positions 509 to 807 of the family's 1533-position model. The record is from RNAcentral.
CAGUCGCCGCGGUAAUACGAAGGGUGCAAGCGUUAAUCGGAAUUACUGGGCGUAAAGCGUGCGUAGGCGGUGAGUUAAGUCUGCUGUGAAAUCCCCGGGCUCAACCUGGGAAUGGCAGUGGAUACUGGCUCGCUAGAGUGUGUCAGAGGAUGGUGGAAUUCCCGGUGUAGCGGUGAAAUGCGUAGAGAUGUGGAGGAACACCAGUGGCGAAGGCGACUCUCUGGUCUGUAACUGACGCUGAGGAGCGAAAGCGUGGGGAGCGAACAGGAUUAGAUACCCCGGUAGUCCCUGUCUCUUAUAC